Molecule: non-coding RNA, 61 nt
Filed under: unclassified sequences
Description: L2-Alphaproteobacteria ribosomal protein leader
Rfam family: L2-Alphaproteobacteria ribosomal protein leader
Source: RNAcentral
GGGGACCUUCGGGGCCCUGACAACAGCCGGCUAACCGCCCGCAAAGCAACGGAAGACAGAA